UACGGAGGGGGGCGAGCGUUGUUCGGAAUUAUUGGGCGUAAAGGGUGCGUAGGCGGUUUGGUAAGUCUUAUGUGAAAUCUACAGGCUCAACUUGUAGUCUGCAUGAGAAACUGCCGGGCUUGAGUAUGGGAGAGGUGAGUGGAAUUCCUGGUGUAGCGGUGAAAUGCGUAGAUAUCAGGAGGAACACCUGUGGCGAAAGCGGCUCACUGGACCAUAACUGACGCUGAUGCACGAAAGCUAGGGGAGCAAACAGG
This 254-nucleotide ribosomal RNA is filed under the name uncultured bacterium. RNAcentral's name for it is "partial 16S ribosomal RNA". It matches the Rfam family "Bacterial small subunit ribosomal RNA", at positions 524 to 776 of the family's 1533-position model. The record is from RNAcentral.